Molecule: long non-coding RNA, 652 nt
Organism: Centrocercus urophasianus (Greater sage-grouse)
Lineage: Eukaryota; Metazoa; Chordata; Aves; Galliformes; Phasianidae
Exons: 4
Source: RefSeq, a predicted model, not a curated record
CCCCAUGAGUGCCUUCUGGGAUCCUGGUUAACCUCUUCUGCAGAAGACAGGCCUCCUUCCUCCCCUGCUUUGCACUGUCAUGAACAGAGAGAGAAAAGAAAGAAAAGAUUCGAAGCAGGAUAACUGGUGAUUGCAUUGCCAGCUACCUCAUUGCCACCGAGACUGAGAGGCAGAGAUGAGAGCGUCCACAGGGACCCAAGGAUGAGGUGAAAUACUGAAGAUAAAGUUGCUUGGCGUUUUCUCUUUCAGCAGUUUAGCCAAUAUUUAGCUAAUUUUCACUGCAGCUGAUCUGUGCUGCUCAUCUCCAUGUGCUGCAUGGGGCUGAGGGGCUCAGAGAAGAUCCUGUAAGUCAGAGGUUCCUCCAGUGUCGCUGGACAAGUGGAGCAAAAGAGCACAUGGAACCAUAAGUAAUGGAGUGUCUGUCAGCACUGCUAUUUAGAGCACCACAAUGCACUGAUGAAAAGCACUGCAACAUCUUGCUGCUCGGCUUGAUGAAACAACACCAGAUGCUGAAACUCCGCUGAAACUCAGCAGUAGGAAAGGGAAUGUUUGGUGGGAUGCAUGCUGCGUAACACAGAGGUACGACCUGCAGUGAGAACACUCAAGAUCCUAAUAUUUUUAGGUAUUGUAAGUGAAGUCAACACAUUGAACU